GGCUUGGUAGCGCUCGGAGCGCGUCUGCAUCCAAUUAGGGGCCUUGGCAAAAGUUAAAUUGUACUGCAGAAGGAGCUCGUUCGACUCGAGUCCAAGCCA
Molecule: non-coding RNA, 99 nt
Organism: Mycena vulgaris
Lineage: Eukaryota; Fungi; Basidiomycota; Agaricomycetes; Agaricales; Mycenaceae
Source: the annotation of a GenBank genome assembly